UGGGGAAUAUUGCACAAUGGGGGAAACCCUGAUGCAGCGACGCCGCGUGAGCGAAGAAGGCUUUCGAGUCGUAAAGCUCUGUCCUAUGAGAAGAUAAUGACGGUACCAUAGGAGGAAGCCCUGGCUAAAUACGUGCCAGCAGCCGCGGUAAUACGUAUGGGGCGAGCGUUGUCCGGAAUUAUUGGGCGUAAAGGGUACGUAGGCGGUUUUUUAAGUCAGGUGUCAAAGCGUGGAGCUUAACUCCAUUAAGCACUUGAAACUGAAAGACUUGAGUGAAGGAGAGGAAAGUGGAAUUCCUAGUGUAGCGGUGAAAUGCGUAGAUAUUAGGAGGAAUACCGGUGGCGAAGGCGACUUUCUGGACUUUUACUGACGCUCAGGUACGAAAGCGUGGGGAGCAAACAGG
Molecule: ribosomal RNA, 403 nt
Filed under: Verrucomicrobiota bacterium
Lineage: Bacteria; Pseudomonadati; Verrucomicrobiota
Description: Verrucomicrobia bacterium partial 16S ribosomal RNA
Rfam family: Bacterial small subunit ribosomal RNA
Source: RNAcentral